GGGCACCACCAGGGGGUGCAGCUGCGGCUUAUUUGACUCAUCACGGGAAAUCUCACCAGGCCCGGACACCGGAAGGAUUGACAGAUUAACAGCUCUUUCUUGAUUCGGUGGGUGGUGGUGCAUGGCCGUUCUUAGUUGGUGGAGCGAUUUGUCUGGUUAAUUCCGGUAACGAACGAGACUCUAGCCUGCUAAAUAGGCGUCGCCAUUUAGGUGUGCUCGGCUUCGGUCGUGCAACUCACUGGCGACGUAUUAAAAUUCUUCUUAGAGGGACCGGCGGCUUCGAGCCGCACGAGAUUGAGCAAUAACAGGUCUGUGAUGCCCUUAGAUGUCCUGGGCCGCACGCGCGCUACAUCGAAGGAAUCA
Molecule: ribosomal RNA, 363 nt
Filed under: Sovia separata
Lineage: Eukaryota; Metazoa; Arthropoda; Insecta; Lepidoptera; Hesperiidae
Description: SSU rRNA
Rfam family: Eukaryotic small subunit ribosomal RNA
Source: RNAcentral